Molecule: long non-coding RNA, 14393 nt
Filed under: Ananas comosus (pineapple)
Lineage: Eukaryota; Viridiplantae; Streptophyta; Magnoliopsida; Poales; Bromeliaceae
Description: long non-coding RNA (ACOM_LNC010998)
Source: RNAcentral
UUAAGAGUAAAUACUCCGAUAGCUUCCUCUCCCUCUGCUGCUUACAGGAACUGCAAAGACGGAGAAAAGCUCGACAAUUAGAAGGAUAUAAUCUUGAAACCCUAAUUCGCCAACCAUUGUGGGUUAUCGAGGAGCUAGUGAAUCCAAUAGCCGUGGCCGCGCAACGCCAUUUCUCUAAAUGGGUUGAGAAACCUGAAUUUGUGUUUGCUCUCGUGUACAAGAUCACUAGAGAUUUCGUUGAUUCCAUGGAUGAGAUAUUGCAACCACUUGUGGACAAGGCCAGGCUUGUAGGAUAUAGCUGCAGAGAGGAGUGGAUCUCGGGAAUGGUUACUGCACUAUCGCUAUAUUUGUCGAAGGAAGUAUUCCCCAAGUAUGUUGAUCUUCUUCAGGAAAGCACAUCACAUGCUCGAGUAACAUGGCUCAACCUUGUUGAUUUGAUGAUAUCUUUUGAUAAGCGAACCCGGGCCCUGAUAACUAAUGCGGGACUGCUAAUGUCUCUUAAAGAAGACGAGAAUUUGCCGAGGAUAUCAGCUCUCUCUGUUUUUUGUGAUCGCCCAGAUUGGCUUGAGGUAUGGGCGGAAAUUGAAAAGGGGGAGAUACUAGAUAAGGUAAAAUUGGCGAUGCAGAAUGAGAAAAGUUGGAUUACAAGGAUUCGAGGGGCUGUUCUCAUAUCCGGAUCAGAUGAUUACAACUCUCCUGCUAUUUCUGGUGCUGUUCUUCAAGGUGUAUCUUUGUUAAUCGACCGGGCUCGUCCUUUGCCCAGCAUCAUGCUUAGAGCUAGGUUCAUCAGGUUGGCUCCUGCAUCAAUCUUGAUGGAAUUUGCUGAUUGCAUGCUCCAUAGAUGCCAAGAAGCAGAGGGCCUUACCGCUCUGGCAGAUGAUGAUGCCCUAAUUAAGGUUUCGCAGUGCAUUAACGCAGCCAGGUACUGUGAAUCAAACUUAAUGCAAUGGUGUGAGGAUGUCUUUUUCCUCGAGAUGGAAGCUUUACCGCCAGAAUUUGGUGGGAAAUGUAUUUUCGACGAGGAGAUAAACAAAUUGAAGGAGUUUAGAGUGGAAUGGGUUGAUAAAAUUUCAACCGUCAUUUUAAGGGGAUUUGAUGCUCGAUCACGAGACUAUCUAAAAAACAAGAAGCAAUGGCAGGACAAGUCAGAAGAGUUGGCCGUUUCAAGGAUCAUUGUCGGUUCUUUAGAUUAUCUUCAAGGUAAGAUAUCCAAAUUGGAAGAGCACAUAAAUGCGUUGGACUUUAUCACAAUGUGGAGAACUGUAGCAGAUGGGGUCGAUCAACUUCUAUUCAAUGGAAUUCUCAUGAGUGGUGCAAAAUUCUACAAUGGCGGUGUGGAGAGAUUAGGCGGUGAUCUUAAUGUGUUAUUCGGGGUGUUCGCUGCGUGGUGUUUGAGACCUGAAGGGUUCUUUCCUAAGCUCUAUGAGAGUUUCAGGAUAUUAAGGAUGGAUGAGAGUGCGCUCAAGGAAGGAAUGUCGAAAGCGAAGGAGAGGUGGCUGAAGGAGAACGGCAUAAGGCGCUUAAACAUAGUAGAGGUCGAGAAAAUAAUGAAAAGUAGGGUCUUUCUGUGAUGAUUAUCUCAUUAAUUUAUCUGAAAAAGGUAGACGAUAAACUAACAGUAGGUGUCUGUUAAGGAAAGAAAAAGAAAGAACUGUUUUAUUGGAAGUUGUUGUAGUCAAAUAGGGCUUCCCAAAAAUAUGAUCUUUUUCUUAUUCUUUUCAAUUAUAUUCUGUUUUUGUUCUUAUUUCCUUGAGGAUGUAAUUAUUUGCAAUAACAGAUCGUCUUUUAUGAGAUUAAUUGUUUAAGCUUCUCAAUUUUUUGAAAUGCUGUUUUUUCAGUUUGUUCCUGGUAAUCUUUUGCAAACUCACUGUACAGGCACUUCUUAGGAGAUGUUGCUGCUCUUUUCUUGGCUAUGUAUGUUAUCUUGCAAUAGUUUCGCAUGCCCUCUGCUUCUUUCACUUCGUGUCAUUUUGAUUGUGUACUCUCUGAAUAUUGUUUGACUUGCUGAUAUAUCCGCGAACAUUAUACGCCACCUUAUCUUUGCUAGAUUUGUCGGCAUCUUAUUAUUCAGCUGUAUUUUCAUUAAACAAACAGUUUAAAUCACUCGGGGAAAAUUUAUUUUAUGCCAUGUUGUCUAAACCAAACUAUUACAUUAAUUUGAUCUGGAGUUACCAGAAUUUUGUGAAUCAAGAGACAACUUCGAAUCUGAGAAACUGCAAAAAGUACAUCUUAGAAAUAAGAGUCUUUCUAUAGUUCGUACACUCUCUUGUAAUGCAUAAAGUGCGAUCCAAGUAGUAGUUUUAGAAGAACUAACUGUACUAACAGAGUCUUUCGACAAUACCAUAAAUAGCAUCAAAUUAGAGUUUCUAUAUUUGAGCCUCAAGAGUCUUUUUUACUCUCCACUACUACAGAAGCAAUAAAUUUUUUUCUAUCGUGUUUGUUGACAAUAGAUAAGCUAAACGAAUAGGAUAGAACGAGAGACGGACUACUAAAAAUCCAGUAGGCUUCCUGUUGUGGCGUCGACCCACAUUCGCCGCGAGAUCGAUGGAUCACCAGGUGAAGGACCACAAAAUCUUGCAAUGGUCCAUACAGAAAGAUUUUUCUUUUAACAUUGUGUGCUCAGAUAUGCUUAAAAGUUCCCUUUCCCCUGCAACAAAAAGAUAUGGAGAAGGCAUAGGUCAAUCUCAUAAUGUUGGCUGCUUUGGUUUGCAGAUCAUAUCUCUGUUCAUACUUGCUUUGGAUCUAUUUGGAGAAACUUCUUGGUUCCUGCUGUGGACCUAUCCCUAUCCUUAUACACUUCAUAUCGGAAACAUCGGGUUGAUUCGGCUACGAAACAAAUAAAUGCGAACUCUUUGAAGCCCCUUUCGUAGGAAAUUUGGUGAAGGAAUACGACAAUACAAGUUAAUCUUCUUUAAGUAUCAUUAUCAGAGAUCUAUUAGAAUACUGUUUUUACAGACGGUUGAUAUGUUGGUAAAAUCAGCACCUUACGGAAAGAAUAUUUAUUUUCUUCGCAUUUUUGUACCGGUGUAUUAUAAAGGCAUAUGGGUCAUAGACAUUCAUUAAUUCAUUGCGGUCACCAACAAGUUUCAUGAUGAAGAGUUAAUAGUCACUAGUUAUGGAUAUGAAAUUAAUGCAACAGCGAAUCAUCAUCAAAGUAAACAGUACAUUAUGCAAGGAAGGAUAAAGGAAAAUUGAUUUACCAAUGGUAAGUUCACAAUGCAUGUUGCGUGCGUAUAUGACAUACCUAGCUUCGGUAACAAUAUAUAAUUAGUAUAUGUAUAUCGUGCUCGCUUAUUAAUUGUAUUUUAAAAUAUGUUCUUAGUAUCUAUAGCAUUAAUAAAUCAAUCAGUAGAUUUUUAAUUACCAGGCCUCGGGCCUGUAGUCUCCAUAACCCUAAUCAAGCGAAACAUCCUAAUCAAUUUCGCCGCUUUGCGAAGUGCGGUACUCCUUAUAAACUUUUUGACGGCUAUUGUAGUUGUGAUGUCGUGAUGACACAUAAUGUGUGGAUAAAGGAGAUUGUUAAUAUCAAUACGCACGCACAGAAAUGCAAUGAACGCGACUUCUCCUGUUACGACAAGUGAUAAGAUUCUUGAAUGAAAAUAAAAUUGAAAGUUCAAAGUCAAUCGUUUAUUGCUGCUUAAAUGAAAGGAGUACUGAAUGACGGCAUAAAUAAAGAAAAGGAUCUCGACUCGUAAUGCAAAUUAAAUAUGUGAUAAAUGGUUGAGAUUCAACCGUACAAUCAGUAAACAAAGUAUUUCGUUGACUGUUAAUAAUGUGGAUACCUUCUUCUUUCUUUUUCUUUUUCUUUUUUUUUUUUUCUAAAAGCAUACAUAACAAAACCUGUGAUUUUCGACGAAUUGCGCAAUCGCACUAUUCCACGGCAUUAUUAAAUAGAAUUGAGUUAACAUUUGUUUAUACGAGUUCAAUAUGGUUCUUCAUAUUUGAACUAAUCCAAAUACGAAAUAACUCGACAAACGUGCUUACACUGCUAAUAAGAGGAGUCGUGCGUGAUAAAAUUUAUUGAAUCUGAUCAAAUUUGAUCGAGGACUAAUAAUUUGAUUGGACGAAUCUAUAUAUUAGUGUCAAAAUCAACAUCAUUGAUAACAUCAUGACCCCCCCACGACAAUCUAAAACUACUCAUCACAAUCAUGGAAAUCAUUGAGUACUAUUAUUAGGACGACACUGUUGCAUGAUUGGGACUUUUCUAGUACCAAUGUUUAGUGACGCAAUAGUUAGGAGAUUAGACACUUAUAACUUAUUCCUAACUCGGAAGGUUCCAUCAAAUGCCAACAAUAAGUAGCUGGCUACUAAAUACUAUAUUAGAUAUGUCAACGGACCGGAUUUGAGACGAAUUAUCAAAAAUUUGAAUCCAAAUUUGAUAAUUAAAUUCAAAUUCGAAUUCGAUGGAUUUUGAAGAUUCGUAUUCAGAAUAAAGUUCGAUCAAAAAUUUUAAAAAAGUUCAAAUUCAAAGCAAAUUCAAAUACAACAACAAGUAUUAAUUAUAAAUUAUGUUGCAUAAAAUUAAUUCGGAUUUGAGUUCACUUCUGAUAAAAGUAAAAUCCAUACCUGAAUACAAAUGAGUCGGAUUUUCGCUUUUUUUAUAUUUCUAUCUGAAAUCAUAUCAGUUUGGCAUCAGAUAAAUCCAGUCUGCUCUAAUUUAGCAUUAAUAAUAUUUUAAAAAGCUGAUUCAUUAAUAAUAAUUUUUUAAAAAUGUAAAAAGUAUCAAAAAUGUUAUUUUUGCUCUAGUUACUUGAUCCCUAGUGGUUAGAUUUAACCCAACUAAUGAGCCACCAAGGCCAGCUACAGUCACAUCAUGGCAUUGAUUGAGAAGCACAAUUCCUUGGAUUUGUUGUAUACUAGGCCUCUAGCGCCGACCAAGCACAUCAACAUUUAUUUUGUUGAAAUUCUUUUUUUUCUCCGAAUAACUCAAGAUCAAUAAGUCCGAUCUUGAAUGAACUGAGCCCAAUGACAUUUUAAGGUUAUUCAGUUGUGAAUCAUUCAACACAAAAUAGCAUUAAUAAAGCAUAAUCAAACUUUAUUGCUUGAUACAUGGUUCAAAUGCUCAAUGUAAAAUUUGAAAUCGACCAAAGGCUCCUAAUAUUUUAUAUCAAUUCUAAAUUUCUUUAGGACUUGGUUUGUUCACUUAUUUUAGGCUCUAAAGUCAAAAUAAAAUUUGCUGAUCCUAAUAAUUAUUAUUUAUUUUACGCUGAAAUGAGAAUGAGUCAAUCCAUUUCUAGUUCAAUCCAAUUCGACUAUAAAUUCCGAAUUGGCCCAAUUGAGAGUAAACCAUUAAAACAACGAAUCAAAUAUUUUUUAAAUGAUUCGUCAUUUUAUUUUUCAUUCCGGUACAAUUUAACUUAAUUUUUUUCUUUCAAUUUCAAUCAUGAACCCUUAAUUCUAUAAUAUCAUGGGUUCAAAUCGCUACAGCUGGCGCACACAUUAAUUUUUUUCUUUCAAUUUCAAUCAUGAACCAAAUAUAUCCUUUAUUCUGUAAGAUCGUGGGUUCAAAUCGCUACAGCUGGCGCACACGGUCCACGGAACAAUCAUUUUCUGCAGAAGGCCUAACAACUUAAUGCACUAGACUAGAGUUUGCCCCCGACAUUGAGCUGACGAGGUGGGUCCCCCACUCUCUUCAACUGGUCCAAUCGGUAGUAACAACAAAAUUUGGGACCCCUCUACUUUAUGCUUUAUAAUAUAUAUAAAAUAGGAUUAAUUUUAUACAGAUUUCUAUAAAUAUAAUGAAUGAUAAAUAUAUAUUUACAAAGUUCAACUUUUAUAUAUUGUAUUUAUAAAAGUUCUGAUAUUUUCAAAUAUGUCCGGACCGUUAAAAUUCGUUAAAAGAUUUUAAUUAAACAUAGGAUAAAUACUUAUCCAAAUUAGUUUUUGAUAUUUUUAUCCCUCUUAUAUUAAUUAUACUGUUAUAGCUUCUCGAAGGACAUAUUUGUUAUAGCAAAAUUGAAAAAAUAAAUAGAUCUUUAAAGAUUAUCUAACAGUAACAAAUCAAAAGUAUAUAUUUAAAAAUAUCGGAACUUUUGUAAGGACAAUAUAUGAAAGUUGAACUUUAUAGGAAUAUAUUUUUUAUUUACUAUAUUUGUAGAGGUUCGUAUGAAAUAAACCUUAUAAAAUAUACAUACAUAUAAAGAUAUUUUUUAAUUUUUUUUUAAAAUGUGUUUAAAGAAUAAUAAUAACAUUAGUGGGAAAAAAAAAUCUCUUAAAUAAUAAAAAGUUGUAAGAUAUAAUUUGAUCGAAUUGUUGGGCUAGCAUUACUAGACUAUUGUACCGAGUCGUUUUACCGCAAACACGGGCACGUGUGGGUGCCCACGCGAUCGGGUCCGUGCCAUGCAGUCACGUCAAUUUGGGUAGUGCUCACACCCAACUCGACCCACUAGUUAAGGCCUUUUAAGUGAAUCAUAUCUAGUUCACUAAUGUGCGGAGCCAAAGAAAGAAAUAGAAUUAAUUAAGAGAGUAAUUUUUUGCAUAUAUCUUAUACUGAUUCCAUAUUACUCGAGGAUCCCCGCAAACACGAUGAAGUGAGACACCAAACAUAUAUAAUUCUCUAUAAUUGAAUGUCGGAAUAAAUUAUAUAUUUCUAUGAUUGAAAGUAAGAAGUUUGAGUAGUUUUAAUUUUCGAAGCAUCUCAUUAUGAAAAAAUAGCUCGCAGGUCGAACAUGAUCGAUGCUUGUUUUAUAUAUUUGUUCACAUUCCUUAUGUGUCGAAUAAUAUAUUCAUACAUCUAAAUAGGACCUAAAGUGCUGUUGAAACAUCCAGAGUAAUUGACCAAAUACAAUAAAAUAGUAGUAUGAAGAACUAAAACUUUUUACAGAUGAUAUAUAUAUAUAUAUAUAUAUAUAUAGGGUCCGGCUACUAUCCUAUUAAUAGGAUUGGGACUCUUGUCCUAUCAAGUCGAUUUGAAUGAUCGGAACUUCAAAUUGAUAAUCGGCACCGUUGAAGUUGAUCUACACAAUUAGAAAUGUUUAGAAACCAAAUUUUGUAAUAUUUAAAAAUCAUUAUCAAGUUCAUCUUAAGAGUUGAAAAAUGAACGGUCAUAAAUGAAUAACCUUCUUAAAAUAGAGGUUAGACUUUCUCAGUUCGUAAUCAGAGUUAUCAAACAUUAUCUAAAUAGUAUAAAGAAUUUUCUAUCAAAAAUUUAAGUAAUUUGGAUUGCUCUACACCGUUAAACAAGCAAACGGCUCAUAUAGGCCGUAAAAAAUUAUCGAUUUUACAACACUUUGAUCACCAUGUAAACCAUUAUUAAAAUUUAUGAAAUUUAGUUUCUAGAUAUUUCAAAUACUCUAAAUCAACUUCAACGGCUCCGAUCAUCGAUUCGGAAUCUCGAUCAUCAAGAGCAACUUGAUAGGACAAGUGCUCCUAUCCUAUUAAUAGGAUAGUAGCAUUAGCAUAUAUAUAUAUAUAUAUAGCUAAACUGGAAUGUUAUUGGUAGCACAGAGGCCUUCGUGCUACCAAGUUGUUUUAAAUGAUGCGGCUUCCAAAUUGACGAUCGGCUCUAUUAGAUUUGAUCUACACUAUGAAAGUAUUUGGAAACUAAAUUUCAUAAAUUUUCGGCAUCAUUUACCUAUCAAACGAGUAGUCUAAAAAUAAACGGCUAAAAAUAAAAAUCUCCUAAAAUAUGAUAAUAAAAGACUUGAAUUUAAAAUCAGAGGUACUGACCUUACUCUAAAUAGUGAAAAAAAAAAUUUCACCAGAUUUGAAUUGUUUUACACCGUUAAAUUCACAAACGCCUCACAUCUACCAUUAAAAUUAUCAAUUUUGAGAACUUUUGAUCACUAACCAAAUGAUGUCGAAAAAUUAUGAAAUUUAGUUUCGAAAUAUUUUUAAUAGUGUAGAUCAAUUCUAGCGAAGUUGGUCGUCAAUUUGGAAGCCGCAUCAUUAAAAAUAAUUUAGUAGCAUGGAGGUCUCCGUGCUACCGAAAGUAUAUUAGUCUAACUCUCUCUCUCUCUCUCUCUAUAUAUAUAUAUAUAUUCAUAGCAUCCAGAAGAGGAAUCCGCAAACUAUAUAUUUAUGACCUUAAAUUGUUUAAUUUAUUAAUCGGUGAUGAUGAAGAUAUAAACAAGACAAAUAUAUCGACCAAUAUUGAAAGCUUUGUGCAUGCACAGGGUCAUGCAUCCAUGCAUAUGCACGCAAUAAAUAAUGUCUCCCAUUCCAAACAUUACCCACUCCCACUUUCCACACACCCCUUCGAUCUCCUCCAUCCUCAUUUCCCAGUUUUAAACACUCCCCUCAUGGGACUCAUAUAAGCUUCUCAGCAAAGUUACGAGUUAUUACACAACACGCAUUAGGCGUGGGUGUGGAUGACCACGUCGCAAUAAUAAAAAUAGGAAGGUUGUAUCAGGGGCUUGUUUUAUCUAUGCAUAUCUAUGUAUCUAUCUUGGGUCAGGUGUAGUCAUGUCGCAAAAGAAACAUAGCGAGUUAAAGCGCAUGUGGGAAGUCCCGGAUUCAUAUAGAUGUGGUAAGCAGCCCAUGUACAGCAUGCCUCGAGUGUUCAUUACAGUCCCCACCCCCCUUUCACUCUCUAAACUAUUCGCUUCGCAUACCCCGUGCAUCUGUACGUCUCAUGCACCGCACCUCUAAAACUCUAGCGGAUAAAUAUGAAAAUCAGAAUCUAAUUCAGCGAAUGCGGCAUGCAUCAAACAUUAUAAGAUCCCAAACAUCCUUAAUUGUAUAUAUGAAUGUAUUAUAGAUAUAAUGGUACAUAGGAGGUGAGCGUCCUUAAAUUAGCUUAUGUGUGCAGUUCAAAUAUAUCUAUCACUUAUAGUUUGGCAAAUUACAUGUAUGAUAUCAGAAAAUCUCGAACAUCUAAUUUUGUAAAAUUGCUACUAGAAAGUUGUCGUUGUAUAUUGUCGACAUAACAAUAUAAAUGAGGUGAAGGCCCUUAACGAACGUAUGCAUGUAAUUCAAAGAUGCCACGUGUAUUUUGUCAAUACAUCAUUAACCUAUAUAUUAAGACGUCUAGUGGGCCCAAAUUCUAAAUCAAAUAAUAAUAUAUAUUUCUUAAUUCUUUAAAAUUUCAAGCUCAAUGAUUUUCCCACAUACGCCUUUUCUAAUAUUGUAAGCCAUAACUAUCAGAUUGGAUUUUAAUUUUAAGACGUACGUAUAUACGCAAAGGAUACGAGCAAUAAUUUCUCUCUCUCUCUCUCUCUCACUCAGCCUUUCCCCAUCUCUCCACAUCCAGUGCACUGUCAUGUCUCUCUUGGUCACAUGGGGAUGAUGCCCACCACAAGGGGCUACAACACCCCCCACCCCCUCUCUUCAUCUCCCCAGUUUUUAAAUAUACGGUGUUUGCGAUCUCUUUUCCUUUAUGACUCACCAGGGAGAAGAGAACCACGCCCAAGUGGGCGCCUACACGUAGAAUCCCUCACAUGUUAAGUCCCCCAUCAUCCGAUGGCCCCUCCUUCUCGUCUCUCCUUCUCUCUCCUCUCUCGUUCCCCUCUCUCUCUCUCUCUCCUCUCUACUUCAUAGGUCUAAUUUUGUUAGGAAAUAGGUGACAACCGCUUUAUUUAUUAAGCCACCCAACUAAACCAUCGCAUAUAUAUAUUAUAUAUAUCUAUAUAUAUAUGCAUCUGGUAUGCUUCACAAAAUACGGACGCUCCGUAACUUUCAAGUUGUUUUUAAUGUCACUUUCAAAAUCGACAAACUUGGAACACGGAGGCUUCGUCUUCCAGAAGCAUACCAGCCCACUAUAUCUAUUAAUUGAAGCUCUCUAUGGCUUUUAACAAGUAUCAAGUUUGUGGCUUGUAUAUUUUUAACCAUUGGAUUAAGAGAUGUGCGGAUAGAUAUGUGGGCCAAACUAGGGUUGAGUGGGUGGUUGGUUGAAUAGUAUAGAUCUAACGGUUGAAAAUGAUUUAGGAGUAGAUCGUAACGGUAAAAAUUUUACAACACCAAGUGCUGUGCUUGUACAGCACUAUGCUGGACUAUAUAUAUAUAUAUAUAUAUAUAUAUAUAUAUAUAUAUAUAUAUAUUUUUUGGAGUAGUGGGCGCGAAAAUAUCUGGAAUGUCACGUGACGCAUGUAGUAGUCGAUAAAAAAUUCUAAUUCUGAGGCACGAAUUUUAGAGCUACGUGUUGAGGAGUGCGAUGCGGUAACGGACGGUGCGCGCUCGCCGGGAGCGUGCAAUGAUGCGUUUUUCCCGCGAGGCCCGGAUCACAUGAGAGCCAUAAAUGGGCCAUGGUCCCAUCGGCCCAUGGGCACGCCCACCGCGCCCCGUCACGUGGACGUACGUCGUGGACCUCUUUGCCAGGAGGACACGUGGCACUGCCGGAUUGGCCACUUUCCAUUCCUUCACGGGAAAAAAAAAAGCAAAAAAGAAAAAUCAUCCGUAACAUCCGGAUGAAGUGAAAGCGGCCGAAUUGCGGGCUUGUUAUUCUAAUGAUGAUUAAUUACGGGCUCUAAUCUCUCUAUUAAAAAUCUUAAUUUCCGAACGUGGGCUCAAUAUAGUAAUAGUAAUAAUAUUACUAUUGUUUAUUAUUAAUUAUUAUUGUUAUUAUUUUGGAGUAUUAACAAAAAAUGUAGGCGUUGAGAUUGUGCUAAAAGGUCGUCGAAUUGACAAGAUAAUGCCCAGGACGAGUUGUAGCGCCCCCUCUUUAGACAUAAAGGGGACAAAGGCAUCUUUUGUGCCUAGAGUAAUAUUUUCUUUAAAAAUAAAUAAUAAUAAAUUUUUUUUACCGCAUGAGAUGUAAGAGAGAGAGAGAGAGAGAGAGAGAGAGAGAGAGAGAGAGAGAUGGUGUGAGGAGUCCCCUGAUUUCGCCACGUGCUGAGCAGUGAGAGGGGCUGUGGUAUGGUGAGCCCAUAGGCCCUCUCAGCUAUUGGGCCGGGUGGUGGGCCCAGCAUGGGAAAAGAAGGAGAAAGGUUGGGGGGGGGGACAUGUAGGGCCUAAGAGUUUGGUUUAUAUGUGUGUUUCUCUUCUCUCCUCAAGCCUCUCAAACUCUUUUCUCCUCCGGUCCCUUCCCAUUAACCUCUCCCUCCUCUUGUCUCGAGUGCUCCUCCCCUAUAAACUUCCCCUCCCUCGCUCUCCCUUUCUGUCUCUCUCACAUCGAUCUCCUUCGCUCCGCGACGAUGUCGAGCCGGAGGUCGACAAGGAUCACCGAAGAGGAGAUCAGCGAGCUCAUCUCCAAGCUCCAGUCGCUGCUUCCGGAGGGCCGCCGCAGAGGCAACAGCCGGGUAUUAACAAUCUCAAGUCUCUCGAAGUAAAGCACCAUACAAAUAUAAAUAUAUAUUUUAGUUAGAACAUUUUGCUUGUAACUUUACUUUUAUAUUAUGAUGAUGAUGAUGAUGAUGAUGAUGAUGAUAAUGAUGAUGAUAUAAAAUAAUAAGAUGCAGGCUUCGGCGACGAAGCUGCUGAAGGAGACGUGCAACUACAUCAAGAGCCUGCACCGCGAGGUCGACGACCUCAGCGACCGCCUCUCCGACCUGAUGGCCGGCAUGGACAACGACAGCGCCCAGGCCGAGAUCAUCCGGAGCCUCCUCCGGUCCUGAGCGCCGUGCCGUGCCGUGCUGUGCUGUGCUGCGCCGCCAAGUUAGCCCCUCCAACGUACCACUCCUAAUAGAUAAAUCUAUAUAUAUAUUUAUAAGCUUCUAGGGUAACUAGAUCUCAUUAAUGUACGUACUUAUAUAUUAGAUCCUAGCUAGGCUUUAUAAUGCCGUAGCAUUAGCUCUCCAUUCCCUACCUCUUCUUCUCCUUUUCCUCUUUUUUUUUUUUUUUUUUUUUUUUCAAUUUUAUGCACAUCUUCUUUGAGGUGUGGCUCGAGUUGCUUCUACUAUGGCAACCGACCAACCACUACUUAGGAAAAUUAUCAUGUAAUCCAGCUCUUACUCAGUUUCCAUUAUAUAUAUAUAAAUAUAUAUAUAAAUAUAAAACCUUAUUUUAUAUAUACAUAUAUAUAUAUGCUCAUUUUCAUGGCUCCUUCUUAGACUCCCUAGUUCAAUCCGUACACAUGUGAAAGGGGAGGUACUUAAUAAAAUAUAUAACUACCACAUAAGUUUUUUUUUUUUUUUUUCCUGAAAAAUUCCUUUUACUCCUUAGUUCCUGUUUAAGACCCAACACCGGCUCUGUUUUUAUUGUGUUCCGAUGAUUCUAACACCCCGGCGGGCAAAAAACCCACCAAUAGGGUUUGCACACGUGGACGGUACGGAAUAGUGGGUGGAGCGCGUACUGGGAUUAGGCUGUACCUGUGGAGCAACGGAGGGGCGAGGAUGUCGACCGAGGGAACUGAUCUAACGGUUGGUGGCCUCCGAGGACGCCAAAAUUGAAGGACGCGGGUCCCGAGAGUCAGGGCCUGCUGGGCUCAGAGCCCCAGUGCGGGGCCCACCACUGAUUGGGGCUCGGUCCCCACCGUCCAAUGAAUAGUAUCCUACGGUUGUAGCUAGUUAGUUGAACACGACAGUUAAAAAAGGCAAAAAAAAAAAAAAAUCAUUAAACAAAAAAUAUUAGAAAAUCCUCGACACCGUAAUAUACAAAUAUAUUGAGAUGAUAAUGGCAUAAUAUGCCCCUACAAAAGGCUGUGCUGUACAUGUAACGGGAGGGGUAAAAGAGUAAAUAGAACAGAGAAAGGGCCAAAAAGAGGAAAAAUAAAAAAAUAGGGGGUUAAAUGGCGAAUAAGAUAAGGUGCGUGAGUUUUUUUUUUUUUUCUUUCUUUUAUGCGCAGCCGUAAAUGUAUUUCGUUCGCAGCCCUGCACGGAAAUUUGCAGAGAUACGUCGUGUUAGGUCUGACCAUUUAAUUAAGGGCAUUUCUGUAAAUUCACCUGCUGAUACGAGCGAUUCUUCCGGUUCAAUAUGUAAGCAAGUCUAGAAGGAUACCAUCCGGAGCCCGCGACCGGGACAAAAAUUUAUACAGUGAAUGCAAUUACUUUGCUUACUAUAUAGUAAUGUUCUGAAUACCCAAAAUGGGAACCGGUUUUUCCACACACCACAAAAAUAUAUAUAUAUAUAUAUAUAUGUGUGUGUGUGUGUGUGUGUGUGUGUGUGUGUGUGUGUGUUAUAAUUACAAAGCGAUCCUUCCGCCCAUUUGCCGACAUGGAUAGUUCGAAUUUAUACCAUCAGAUAAAUAAAUAGCGAAGCGUUCCCUCCGUCCAUCUGUGGACGUGGACAGUUCGAAUUUAUCUUGUCGGACAAGCGACAAUGUUAUUUUGUAUGCAAAAUUCUUUUAUGCAUAGUAUUUUUCACGUCCCUAGUGUUUUCUGUCACGGGAACUAUAGAAGAAUAGUGGCUUUCAACUAAACAUUAUGUAUUUUGCCUUGAAAAUGUAUAAAUGAGUUCUAUAAGAUUAAAUUUCACAAACCUUUGGUUAUGUGACAUUCGAGAUAAGUGAUUAUUCAAAAGAUAUAUAUAGCUAGCUAAUUUUAUCAAUACCAUAUAGCUAGUCAUCGAUUGUGCCGUGUGCAGUUGUAUACAGAAUUGUAUUGUUGGUGCUUAAUAUUUUAAAUUUUAAUUCUAAUUACUUUAUACUUCUUACAUAUAGCUCGCUAUCUUUCUCUCGAGAAAACGAAUACCAUACAGUCUAGUUGCAUGAUCUGACCAUCCAUUCAAAUAUAGCACUCAUCUCCGCAAAUUGAAGUGAUCAAGCAAAAUCCGUAGGAUUGUUCAACGCUAGGUUGCUACACGCACAAGAUGUCGAGGAUUUGCUCGCGAUAAAUACCCUUCCUAGCAAAUCAACCUAACCUCUUUUUCUGCAUUUUUUUUUAAUAUAAAAAUUAGUAAUCUAUUGCACGGUUUUGACAAGGUCACCUGGUGUUCAUCCAUUUUGUUACUCCACUGAAAAUUCCACUGUAGAAAUUUUUGGUCCCAGCGAUGCAGCAGAAGAGCAAAUAAAAUUUUAAACUCAGAUCAUACUCAAAAGUAAUCAACUCAAAUUUCGAAAUCAAGGCCUAAAGAGGCCGAAUCAAAAACGAAAUUAGGGAAACAAAGAAAUGGCGAUAGAGAGAGUGAGAUAUCGAGACGAAGCUAAUAAUCCACUCUACCUUCAUCGCAAGGGCGAUUCGACAGUGGCGUUGCUGCUGAGCGGCGAGGAUCGGAUCAUGGGCCGUGAGCAGAGGAUCGAAUUCACGCUGGGGUUGAGUCGGAGGAGAACGAAUCGAUCCCGAUCCGUCUCCCUCGCGCUCAACCCCUCCCCCUUCGCCUCCCCGAUCCGCAUCUCCUCCUCCCUGAUCCGCCGCACCUGGUUGUGCACCGGCGCUCCGCCCCGCGCCUCUCCUCCUCCUCCUCCUCCUCCGCCGCCGCAAUUCGCCUGCUGGGAUCCCUGCGGCUUCGUCUCCUCGAUCGGGAUCGUCGCCAUGAUCGGGGGGGCGUAAGGUCUAGGGCUAGGGUUUCGAGAAGUAUCGCCGAUUCGUGAGCGCCCGCGUGUUACGAUUUUAAUUAGUAGCCUAGCCUAGUGUGGAAAGACG